Molecule: ribosomal RNA, 468 nt
Filed under: uncultured bacterium
Lineage: Bacteria
Description: partial 16S ribosomal RNA
Rfam family: Bacterial small subunit ribosomal RNA
Source: RNAcentral
GACGAACGCUGGCGGCGUGCUUAACACAUGCAAGUCGAACGGAAAGGCCCUGCUUUUGUGGGGUGCUCGAGUGGCGAACGGGUGAGUAACACGUGAGUAACCUGCCCUUGACUUUGGGAUAACUCCAGGAAACUGGGGCUAAUACCGGAUAGGAGCUCCUGCUGCAUGGUGGGGGUUGGAAAGUUUCGGCGGUUGGGGAUGGACUCGCGGCUUAUCAGCUUGUUGGUGGGGUAGUGGCUUACCAAGGCUUUGACGGGUAGCCGGCCUGGGAGGGUGACCGGCCACAUUGGGACUGAGAUACGGCCCAGACUCCUACGGGAGGCAGCAGUGGGGAAUAUUGCACAAUGGGCGGAAGCCUGAUGCAGCAACGCCGCGUGCGGGAUGACGGCCUUCGGGUUGUAAACCGCUUUCGCCUGUGACGAAGCGUGAGUGACGGUAAUGGGUAAAGAAGCACCGGCUAACUACGUG